Molecule: unclassified non-coding RNA, 23 nt
Filed under: Mus musculus (house mouse)
Lineage: Eukaryota; Metazoa; Chordata; Mammalia; Rodentia; Muridae
Description: oocyte_clustered_small_RNA1131
Source: RNAcentral
UCAGCCGGCAAAGGAAGACACAA